This 487-nucleotide ribosomal RNA is filed under the name Klebsiella pneumoniae. RNAcentral's name for it is "bacterial SSU rRNA". It matches the Rfam family "Bacterial small subunit ribosomal RNA", at positions 926 to 1414 of the family's 1533-position model. The record is from RNAcentral. Lineage: Bacteria; Pseudomonadati; Pseudomonadota; Gammaproteobacteria; Enterobacterales; Enterobacteriaceae.
CAAGCGGUCGAGCAUGUGGUUUAUUCGAUGCAACGCGAAGAACCUUACCUGGUCUUGACAUCCACAGAACUUUCCAGAGAUGGAUUGGUGCCUUCGGGAACUGUGAGACAGGUGCUGCAUGGCUGUCGUCAGCUCGUGUUGUGAAAUGUUGGGUUAAGUCCCGCAACGAGCGCAACCCUUAUCCUUUGUUGCCAGCGGUUCGGCCGGGAACUCAAAGGAGACUGCCAGUGAUAAACUGGAGGAAGGUGGGGAUGACGUCAAGUCAUCAUGGCCCUUACGACCAGGGCUACACACGUGCUACAAUGGCAUAUACAAAGAGAAGCGACCUCGCGAGAGCAAGCGGACCUCAUAAAGUAUGUCGUAGUCCGGAUUGGAGUCUGCAACUCGACUCCAUGAAGUCGGAAUCGCUAGUAAUCGUAGAUCAGAAUGCUACGGUGAAUACGUUCCCGGGCCUUGUACACACCGCCCGUCACACCAUGGGAGUGGG